AGAGUUAAACAGUGCGUGAAAUUGUUGAAAGGGAAACGUUUGACACCAGUUUUGCGGGUGGGAAAUCAGUCAAUUGCAGUGGGGAGUGGUAGGGGUUUCGACCGCAAGGCAGACCUUUGUCUCAUUCCUGCUGUGAUUGAUGCACUUUUUCAUUUGCAGGUCAACAUCAGUUUCUUCCGCUGGACAAAACCUCAAGGGAAUGUGACAGCUUUGGCUGUGUUAUAGCCCUGGGGCGAUACAGUGGUGGGGACUGAGGUUUUCGCAGUGUGUGCUCUCGGGCAAGGCUGACUGGGUGCUGUGGAGUGGUCCAGCGUACAAUGCUUGCAUCUUGCGCUGGGUCUGUUCUGUACUCGUCCAUCUCGGCUCUUCCACGCUUAGGAUGUUGACAUAAUGGUUUUAAACGACC
Molecule: ribosomal RNA, 406 nt
Filed under: uncultured fungus
Lineage: Eukaryota; Fungi
Description: eukaryotic LSU rRNA
Source: RNAcentral